AGAGUUUGAUCCUGGCUCAGGAUGAACGCUAGCAGCAGGCCUAACACAUGCAAGUCGAGGGGUAGCAGGAUUAAGCUUGCUUAAUUGCUGACGACCGGCGCACGGGUGCGUAACGCGUAUGCAACCUACCUUAUACUGGGGUAUAGCCCGGAGAAAUUCGGAUUAAUCCCCCAUAGUACUAUUUGAUCGCAUGGUUGAAUAGUUAAAGCAUUGCGGUAUAAGAUGGGCAUGCGUCCUAUUAGCUAGAUGGUGAGGUAACGGCUCACCAUGGCUACGAUAGGUAGGGGGCCUGAGAGGGUGGUCCCCCACACUGGUACUGAGACACGGACCAGACUCCUACGGGAGGCAGCAGUGAGGAAUAUUGGUCAAUGGGCGCAAGCCUGAACCAGCCAUGCCGCGUGCAGGAAGAAUGCCCUAUGGGUUGUAAACUGCUUUUAUUUGGGAAUAAACCUCUUUACGUGUAGAGAGCUGAAGGUACCAAAUGAAUAAGCACCGGCUAACUCCGUGCCAGCAGCCGCGGUAAUACGGAGGGUGCAAGCGUUAUCCGGAAUCAUUGGGUUUAAAGGGUCCGCAGGCGGAUUUAUAAGUCAGUGGUGAAAUCCUAUCGCUUAACGAUAGAACUGCCAUUGAUACUGUAAGUCUUGAAUUCGGUCGGAGUGGGCGGAAUGUGUAGUGUAGCGGUGAAAUGCAUAGAUAUUACACAGAACACCGAUAGCGAAGGCAGCUCACUAGGCCUGAAUUGACGCUCAGGGACGAAAGCGUGGGGAUCAAACAGGAUUAGAUACCCUGGUAGUCCACGCUGUAAACGAUGAUUACUCGUUUUCGGCGAUAUACAGUCGGAGACUAAGCGAAAGUGAUAAGUAAUCCACCUGGGGAGUACGAUCGCAAGGUUGAAACUCAAAGGAAUUGACGGG
This 914-nucleotide ribosomal RNA is filed under the name uncultured bacterium. Its description in RNAcentral is "bacterial SSU rRNA". It matches the Rfam family "Bacterial small subunit ribosomal RNA", at positions 8 to 917 of the family's 1533-position model. The record is from RNAcentral.